CGCUGGCGGCGCGCAUAAACAUGCAAGUCGAGCGAGGGCUCAUUUCCCGCAAGGGAGAUGGGUUCCUAGCGGCGAACGGGUGAGUAACACGUGGGCAACCUUUCCUAUCGCGGGGGAUAACAGCGGGAAACCGCUGCUAAUACCGCAUGUCGUCAUCGGUCGCAUGGCCGGUGAAAAAAGCAGCAAUGCACGAUGGGGUGGGCCCGCGGCCUAUCAGCUAGUCGGUGGGGUAACGGCCUACCGAGGCGAUGACGGGUAGCUGGUCUGAGAGGACGACCAGCCACACGGGGACUGAGACACGGCCCCGACUCCUACGGGAGGCAGCAGUGAGGAAUCUUCCGCAAUGGGCGAAAGCCUGACGGAGCGACGCCGCGUGUGGGAUGAAGUCCUUCGGGAUGUAAACCACUGUUGGAGGGGAAGACAACUGACGGUACCCUCCGAGAAAGCCCCGGCUAACUACGUGCCAGCAGCCGCGGUAAUACGUAGGGGGCUAGCGUUAUCCAGAAUUACUGGGCGUAAAGCGCGUGUANGCGGCUGGUUAAGUGUGAUGUGAAAUCUUCGGGCUCAACCCGAAAACUGCAUUGCAAACUG
Molecule: ribosomal RNA, 591 nt
Filed under: uncultured bacterium
Lineage: Bacteria
Description: bacterial SSU rRNA
Rfam family: Bacterial small subunit ribosomal RNA
Source: RNAcentral